This 408-nucleotide ribosomal RNA is filed under the name uncultured bacterium. Its description in RNAcentral is "partial 16S ribosomal RNA". It matches the Rfam family "Bacterial small subunit ribosomal RNA", at positions 28 to 526 of the family's 1533-position model. The record is from RNAcentral.
GACGAACGCUGGCGGCGUGCUUAACACAUGCAAGUCGAACGAAGUGGCGAACGGGUGAGUAACGCGUAAUCAACCUGCCCUUCAGAGGGGGACAGCAGUAGGACACGACUGCUAAUACCGCAUACUGAAGGAGGGGAUUGCGUCUGAUUAGCUAGUUGGAGGGGUAACGGCCCACCAAGGCGAUGAUCAGUAGCCGGUCUGGGAGGAUGAACGGCCACAUUGGGACUGAGACACCGCCCCGACCCCUACGGGAGGCAGCAGUGGGGAAUUUUCCGCAAUGGACGAAAAUCUGACGGAGCAACGCCGCGUGGGUGAAGACGGCCUUCGGGUUGUAAAGCUCUGUUAAUCGGGACGCGGUACCGAAAUAGAAAGCCACGGCUAACUACGUGCCAGCAGCCGCGGUAAUAC